AUGGGGCGCGGCGCGGAGGCCGUGGCCAGGGGCGCAGCGCGGCCGGGCGGACGAGCGCGGGGCGCGGAGGCCGUGGCCUGGGGCGCAGCGCGGCCGGGCGCGGCGCAGCCACGGGAGAAGCGCGGGGACGCGCAGCCACAGGAGGAGCGCAGGGGCACGGCGCGGAGGCCGGGCUGCCGGCGCGUAGUCGUGGGAGUCGGGAGCCACCGCGGGCGUCGGGCACUGGAGUUGGCCGCCUCGCUCGUCGUUCCUGUAGCCUUGGAAGCGAGUUGCUUGGCGUUCUCGUUUUUGGCAGAGCAAAGUGCGUGA
RNAcentral lists this ribosomal RNA (309 nucleotides) under Triticum aestivum (bread wheat). RNAcentral's name for it is "partial small subunit ribosomal RNA". Lineage: Eukaryota; Viridiplantae; Streptophyta; Magnoliopsida; Poales; Poaceae. The record is from RNAcentral.